This 437-nucleotide ribosomal RNA is filed under the name uncultured bacterium. Its description in RNAcentral is "partial 16S ribosomal RNA". It matches the Rfam family "Bacterial small subunit ribosomal RNA", at positions 29 to 507 of the family's 1533-position model. The record is from RNAcentral.
AGCGAACGCUGGCGGCAGGCUUAACACAUGCAAGUCGAGCGGGCAUCCCUGUGUUGUCAGCGGCAGACGGGUGAGUCACGCGUGGGACCGUGGCCUUAGGUUCGGAUUAACUCAGGGUAACUUGAGCUAAUACGGGAUAAGUGCGAGAGCAGACAGGUUGAUCUGCGGAGGGAUUGGACCGCGUCUGCUUAGCUAGUUGGUGUGGUUAUGGCUCACCAUGUCGACGAUCAGUAGCUGGUCCGAGGGGAUGACCAGCAACACUGGGACUGGGACACGACCCAGACGCCUGCGGGAAGCAGCAGAUGGGAAUAUAUGACAAUAGGCGCGACCCUGAACCGGCCAUGCCGCGAGAGCGAUGACGGCCUUGUAGUUGGAAAGCUCUUAUCUCCGGGAUGAUAGUGACGGUACUGGAUGAAUAAGCCCCGGCUAACUACGUG